UUGGAGGGCAAGUCUGGUGCCAGCAGCCGCGGUAAUUCCAGCUCCAAUAGCGUAUAUUAAAGUUGUUGCAGUUAAAAAGCUCGUAGUUGAAUUUCGGGGUUAGUAGGUUGGUCAUGCCUCAGGUAUGUACUGAUCUCACUGAUUCCUCCUUCCUGACGAACCGUAAUGCCAUUAAUUUGGUGUUGCGGGGAGACUGGACUGUUACUUUGAAAAAAUUAGAGUGUUUAAAGCAGGCUAACGCUUGAAUACAUUAGCAUGGAAUAAUGAAAUAGGACGUUCGAUCCUAUUUUGUUGGUUUCUAGGAUUGACGUAAUGAUUAAUAGGGAUAGUUGGGGGCAUUAGUAUUCAAUUGUCAGAGGUGAAAUUCUUGGAUUUAUUGAAGACUAACUACUGCGAAAGCAUUUGCCAAGGAUGCUUUCAUUAAUCAAGAACGAAAGUUAGGGGAUCGAAGACGAUCAGAUACCGUCGUAGUCUUAACCAUAAACUAUGCCGACUAGGGAUCGGAUGAUGUUAAUUUUUUAAUGACUCAUUCGGCGCCUUACGGGAAAC
RNAcentral lists this ribosomal RNA (549 nucleotides) under uncultured Glomus. RNAcentral describes it as "SSU rRNA". It matches the Rfam family "Eukaryotic small subunit ribosomal RNA", at positions 548 to 1098 of the family's 1831-position model. Lineage: Eukaryota; Fungi; Glomeromycota; Glomeromycetes; Glomerales; Glomeraceae. The record is from RNAcentral.